Molecule: long non-coding RNA, 1231 nt
Organism: Homo sapiens (human)
Lineage: Eukaryota; Metazoa; Chordata; Mammalia; Primates; Hominidae
Source: Ensembl
AGGCAGAGGAACGUGGAAGGACUAGACUGCCUGAGUCUUCUGACCUUCAUCUUUCCCCUGUGUUGGAUGCCUCCUGCCCUCAAACAUCAGACUCCAGGUUCUUCAGCUUUUGGACUCUUGGACCUACCCCCCGAGUGGUUUGCCAGGGGCUCUCAGGCCUUCGGCUACAGACUGAGGGCUGCAUUAUCAGCUUUCCUACUUUUGAGGUUUUGGGACUUUACUGGCUUUCUUGCUCCUCAACUUGCAGAUGGCCUGUUGUGGGACCUCACCUUGUGAUCAUGUACAUGAGGGAAAUACACACCCCUCCCAGGGAUGAUGGAAGGUUAAGGUCCUAACACCUCCUGCACAUCUGAGCAGCUGCACAUUGAACCAGAUAGUCCUGGAAUGUGGGAAAACAGAGGCAGACUCAAGAGUCUGGAACAUUAUUUUAGGAUCACACAAAAAAGAUACAUAAUUUUCAUAGAAUGAUACUGAAAGCAUCUCAAAAAUAAAAUCACGAGUAUCUGCAGAUCACUAUGAGACUGGACUGGAACAUUACCUUCAGAAUAUAUCCUAAGACAAAGAAUUGCAUAUUGGCAUCGUAGUUUCCAAUCUAAGCACAUGCGCAAGGGAACUCAGUCUUCCUAGAAAAUCUCCAUAAUAAUAUCAUCAUCCCUGGAUACGGAAACGAAGGCUGAAAGAGAGAAGAGGACGUGGUUUCCUGAUAGCAGAGUUCAGGGUGGAAACUCCAGAUCCAGCUUUCUGCCUGUGACGAUUCUGGUGGAUGUGAGCCUUGGGUGCUGCCUCUGACACCUGCUGUGCACGGCAGCCAGAGACCGCGUCCAGAAUGCAGGCAGUUUGUCUCCCACAACGUGACAGGUGGUGCCGGCCUAAGCUAUGAUCCGCUAACAAAAUAGGGCUAUGAGCCCUCUGCCUUUCAGAGCAGGCGGGGAACAUUCCUGCAAUGCUAUGGGUUGGGUGUGUGAGUUUUUUCUUGAAGAACGUAAUUAGAAAGGGGGGUUCUAUGUGUCAUGUAUAAAAUACCGAUGGGCCAGCCACAGAGAACGCUGUAGGCUUUGACAGACAAGACAGGGUGUCUUUACCAGCAAAUGGACACCAUGCCACAUCAUCCUUAAUGAAAUACGUGCACUUUAGUGAGACAAAAAUGCAUCCGUAGCUCUGCCUGCCUCCUCACGAUCCUUCUCCAGCUAUAAGGACAUCAAAUAAACCAUUUAGACAGAGGGCCCUUUAA